AUAGCUCACUGGUCGAGUCGGCCUGCGCGGAAGAUGUAACGGGGCUAAACCAUGCACCGAAGCUGCGGCAGCGACACUGUGUGUUGUUGGGUAGGGGAGCGUUCUGUAAGCCUGUGAAGGUGUGUCGUGAGGCAUGCUGGAGGUAUCAGAAGUGCGAAUGCUGACAUAAGUAACGAUAAAGCGGGUGAAAAGCCCGCUCGCCGGAAGACCAAGGGUUCCUGUCCAACGUUAAUCGGGGCAGGGUGAGUCGACCCCUAAGGCGAGGCCGAAAGGCGUAGUCGAUGGGAAACGGGUUAAUAUUCCCGUACUUGGUGUUACUGCGAAGGGGGGACGGAGAAGGCUAUGUUGGCCGGGCGACGGUUGUCCCGGUUUAAGCGUGUAGGUGUGUGUUCCAGGUAAAUCCGGUUCACUUUAACACUGAGGCGUGACGACGAGGCACUACGGUGCUGAAGCAACAAAUGCCCUGCUUCCAGGAAAAGCCUCUAAGCAUCAGGUAACAUCAAAUCGUACCCCAAACCGACACAGGUGGUCAGGUAGAGAAUACCAAGGCGCUUGAGAGAACUCGGGUGAAGGAACUAGGCAAAAUGGUGCCGUAACUUCGGGAGAAGGCACGCUGACACGUAGGUGAAGUGAUUUACUCAUGGAGCUGAAGUCAGUCGAAGAUACCAGCUGGCUGCAACUGUUUAUUAAAAACACAGCACUGUGCAAACACGAAAGUGGACGUAUACGGUGUGACGCCUGCCCGGUGCCGGAAGGUUAAUUGAUGGGGUCAGCGCAAGCGAAGCUCCUGAUCGAAGCCCCGGUAAACGGCGGCCGUAACUAUAACGGUCCUAAGGUAGCGAAAUUCCUUGUCGGGUAAGUUCCGACCUGCACGAAUGGCGUAAUGAUGGCCAGGCUGUCUCCACCCGAGACUCAGUGAAAUUGAACUCGCUGUGAAGAUGCAGUGUACCCGCGGCAAGACGGAAAGACCCCGUGAACCUUUACUAUAGCUUGACACUGAACAUUGAGCCUUGAUGUGUAGGAUAGGUGGGAGGCUUUGAAGUGUGGACGCCAGUCUGCAUGGAGCCGACCUUGAAAUACCACCCUUUAAUGUUUGAUGUUCUAACGUGGACCCGUUACCCGGGUUGCGGACAGUGUCUGGUGGGUAGUUUGACUGGGGCGGUCUCCUCCUAAAGAGUAACGGAGGAGCACGAAGGUUGGCUAAUCCUGGUCGGACAUCAGGAGGUUAGUGCAAUGGCAUAAGCCAGCUUGACUGCGAGCGUGACGGCGCGAGCAGGUGCGAAAGCAGGUCAUAGUGAUCCGGUGGUUCUGAAUGGAAGGGCCAUCGCUCAACGGAUAAAAGGUACUCCGGGGAUAACAGGCUGAUACCGCCCAAGAGUUCAUAUCGACGGCGGUGUUUGGCACCUCGAUGUCGGCUCAUCACAUCCUGGGGCUGAAGUAGGUCCCAAGGGUAUGGCUGUUCGCCAUUUAAAGUGGUACGCGAGCUGGGUUUAGAACGUCGUGAGACAGUUCGGUCCCUAUCUGCCGUGGGCGCUGGAGAACUGAGGGGGGCUGCUCCUAGUACGAGAGGACCGGAGUGGACGCAUCACUGGUGUUCGGGUUGUCAUGCCAAUGGCACUGCCCGGUAGCUAAAUGCGGAAGAGAUAAGUGCUGAAAGCAUCUAAGCACGAAACUUGCCCCGA
RNAcentral lists this ribosomal RNA (1682 nucleotides) under Salmonella enterica. Its description in RNAcentral is "partial 23S ribosomal RNA". It matches the Rfam family "Bacterial large subunit ribosomal RNA", at positions 1137 to 2802 of the family's 2925-position model. The record is from RNAcentral. RNAcentral also lists the same sequence under 1 other name. Lineage: Bacteria; Pseudomonadati; Pseudomonadota; Gammaproteobacteria; Enterobacterales; Enterobacteriaceae.